Molecule: ribosomal RNA, 243 nt
Filed under: uncultured bacterium
Lineage: Bacteria
Description: partial 16S ribosomal RNA
Rfam family: Bacterial small subunit ribosomal RNA
Source: RNAcentral
GUCCACGCCGUAAACGAUGUCUACUAGCCGUUGGGUGACUUGAUCACUUAGUGGCGCAGCUAACGCGAUAAGUAGACCGCCUGGGGAGUACGGUCGCAAGAUUAAAACUCAAAUGAAUUGACGGGGGCCCGCACAAGCGGUGGAGCAUGUGGUUUAAUUCGAAGCAACGCGAAGAACCUUACCUACUCUUGACAUCCAGUGAACUUAGCAGAGAUGCUUUGGUGCCUUCGGGAACACUGAGAC